RNAcentral lists this ribosomal RNA (654 nucleotides) under Bacillus thuringiensis. RNAcentral describes it as "bacterial SSU rRNA". It matches the Rfam family "Bacterial small subunit ribosomal RNA", at positions 787 to 1433 of the family's 1533-position model. The record is from RNAcentral. Lineage: Bacteria; Bacillati; Bacillota; Bacilli; Caryophanales; Bacillaceae.
CUGGUAGUCCACGCCGUAAACGAUGAGUGCUAAGUGUUAGAGGGUUUCCGCCCUUUAGUGCUGAAGUUAACGCAUUAAGCACUCCGCCUGGGGAGUACGGCCGCAAGGCUGAAACUCAAAGGAAUUGACGGGGGCCCGCACAAGCGGUGGAGCAUGUGGUUUAAUUCGAAGCAACGCGAAGAACCUUACCAGGUCUUGACAUCCUCUGAAAACCCUAGAGAUAGGGCUUCUCCUUCGGGAGCAGAGUGACAGGUGGUGCAUGGUUGUCGUCAGCUCGUGUCGUGAGAUGUUGGGUUAAGUCCCGCAACGAGCGCAACCCUUGAUCUUAGUUGCCAUCAUUAAGUUGGGCACUCUAAGGUGACUGCCGGUGACAAACCGGAGGAAGGUGGGGAUGACGUCAAAUCAUCAUGCCCCUUAUGACCUGGGCUACACACGUGCUACAAUGGACGGUACAAAGAGCUGCAAGACCGCGAGGUGGAGCUAAUCUCAUAAAACCGUUCUCAGUUCGGAUUGUAGGCUGCAACUCGCCUACAUGAAGCUGGAAUCGCUAGUAAUCGCGGAUCAGCAUGCCCGCGGUUGAAUACGUUCCCGGGCCUUGUACACAACCGGCCCGUCACACCCACGGAGAGUUUUGUAACCACCCGAAGUCCGGUG